This 313-nucleotide ribosomal RNA is filed under the name uncultured Arcobacter sp. RNAcentral describes it as "bacterial SSU rRNA". It matches the Rfam family "Bacterial small subunit ribosomal RNA", at positions 29 to 334 of the family's 1533-position model. The record is from RNAcentral. Lineage: Bacteria; Pseudomonadati; Campylobacterota; Epsilonproteobacteria; Campylobacterales; Arcobacteraceae.
AGUGAACGCUGGCGGCGUGCUUAACACAUGCAAGUCGAACGAGAACGGGUCUUAGCUUGCUAAGAUUGUCAGCUAAGUGGCGCACGGGUGAGUAAUAUAUAGUUAACCUGCCCUAGAGAGAGGGAUAACGUUUGGAAACGGACGCUAACACCUCAUAUGCCUUUAAGUCAUAAGACUGCAAGGGAAACAUUUAUGGCUCUAGGAUGGGACUGUACGGUAUCAGUUAGUUGGUGAGGUAAUGGCUCACCAAGACAAUGACACCUAACUGGUUUGAGAGGAUGAUCAGUCACACUGGAACUGAGACACGGUCCAG